GGUUCUAUGGUCUAGUCGGUUAUGACGGGUGCUUCACAUCUUGAAUGCGUACGCACCAGGUUCCCGGUUCGAUCCCGGGUGGAAUCA
Non-coding RNA from Athelia sp. TMB, 87 nucleotides. The record is from the annotation of a GenBank genome assembly. Lineage: Eukaryota; Fungi; Basidiomycota; Agaricomycetes; Atheliales; Atheliaceae.